RNAcentral lists this ribosomal RNA (97 nucleotides) under Staphylococcus felis. The record is from RNAcentral. Lineage: Bacteria; Bacillati; Bacillota; Bacilli; Caryophanales; Staphylococcaceae.
UCUGGUGGCUAUAGCAAAGAGGUCACACCUGUUCCCAUGCCGAACACAGAAGGUAAGCACUUGAGCGCCUAUGGUAGGCCGACUUAAGUUCGGACAG